Molecule: ribosomal RNA, 1346 nt
Filed under: uncultured bacterium
Lineage: Bacteria
Description: partial 16S ribosomal RNA
Rfam family: Bacterial small subunit ribosomal RNA
Source: RNAcentral
GACGAACGCUGGCGGCGUGCUUAACACAUGCAAGUCGAACGGAAAGGCCCUGCUUUUGUGGGGUGCUCGAGUGGCGAACGGGUGAGUAACACGUGAGUAACCUGCCCUUGACUUUGGGAUAACUUCAGGAAACUGGGGCUAAUACCGGAUAGGAGCUCCUGCUGCAUGGUGGGGGUUGGAAAGUUUCGGCGGUUGGGGAUGGACUCGCGGCUUAUCAGCUUGUUGGUGGGGUAGUGGCUUACCAAGGCUUUGACGGGUAGCCGGCCUGAGAGGGUGACCGGCCACAUUGGGACUGAGAUACGGCCCAGACUCCUACGGGAGGCAGCAGUGGGGAAUAUUGCACAAUGGGCGGAAGCCUGAUGCAGCAACGCCGCAUGCGGGAUGACGGCCUUCGGGUUGUAAACCGCUUUCGCCUGUGACGAAGCGUGAGUGACGGUAAUGGGUAAAGAAGCACCGGCUAACUACGUGCCAGCAGCCGCGGUGAUACGUAGGGUGCGAGCGUUGUCCGGAUUUAUUGGGCGUAAAGGGCUCGUAGGUGGUUGAUCGCGUCGGAAGUGUAAUCUUGGGGCUUAACCCUGAGCGUGCUUUCGAUACGGGUUGACUUGAGGAAGGUAGGGGAGAAUGGAAUUCCUGGUGGAGCGGUGGAAUGCGCAGAUAUCAGGAGGAACACCAGUGGCGAAGGCGGUUCUCUGGGCCUUUCCUGACGCUGAGGAGCGAAAGCGUGGGGAGCGAACAGGCUUAGAUACCCUGGUAGUCCACGCUGUAAACGGUGGGUACUAGGUGUGGGGUCCAUUCCACGGGUUCCGUGCCGUAGCUAACGCUUUAAGUACCCCGCCUGGGGAGUACGGCCGCAAGGCUAAAACUCAAAGGAAUUGACGGGGCCCCGCACAAGCGGCGGAGCAUGCGGAUUAAUUCGAUGCAACGCGUAGAACCUUACCUGGGUUUGACAUGGAUCGGGAGUGCUCAGAGAUGGGUGUGCCUCUUUUGGGGUCGGUUCACAGGUGGUGCAUGGCUGUCGUCAGCUCGUGUCGUGAGAUGUUGGGUUAAGUCCCGCAACGAGCGCAACCCUUGUUCACUGUUGCCAGCACGUUAUGGUGGGGACUCAGUGGAGACCGCCGGGGUCAACUCGGAGGAAGGUGGGGAUGACGUCAAGUCAUCAUGCCCCUUAUGUCCAGGGCUUCACGCAUGCUACAAUGGCUGGUACAGAGAGUGGCGAGCCUGUGAGGGUGAGCGAAUCUCGGAAAGCCGGUCUCAGUUCGGAUUGGGGUCUGCAACUCGACCUCAUGAAGUCGGAGUCGCUAGUAAUCGCAGAUCAGCAACGCUGCGGUGAAUACGUUCCCGGGGCU